GACGAACGCUGGCGGCGUGCUUAACACAUGCAAGUCGAACGGAAAGGCCCCUUUUGGGGUACUCGAGUGGCGAACGGGUGAGUAACACGUGAGUAACCUGCCCUUGACUUCGGGAUAACUUCAGGAAACUGGGGCUAAUACCGGAUAGGAAUCCUUUCUGCAUGGUGGGGGUUGGAAAGCUUCUGCGGUUUUGGAUGGACUCGCGGCUUAUCAGCUUGUUGGUGGGGUAGUGGCUUACCAAGGCUUUGACGGGUAGCCGGCCUGAGGGGGCGACCGGCCAAAUUGGGACUGAGAUAAGGCACAGAAUCGUAAGGGAGGAAGAAGGGGGGAAGAUUGCAAAAGGGGCGGAAGCCGGAUGCAGAAAGGCCGCGGGCGGGAUGACGGGCUUCGGGUUGGAAAACGAAUUCAGCAGGGGCGAAGCUUGUGGUGACGGUACCUGCAGAAGAAGCACCGGCUAACUACGUG
Molecule: ribosomal RNA, 465 nt
Filed under: uncultured bacterium
Lineage: Bacteria
Description: partial 16S ribosomal RNA
Rfam family: Bacterial small subunit ribosomal RNA
Source: RNAcentral